AUGCAGAGCUGGAUUUUCAGCAGCCAUCAUUCUAAUAAUUAUAUAAAUCGAACAAACGAUAGACUGAUUGAGAGAUGUGUAAAACUACAACCAGACUUUUCCAUAGGGGUACAAAAAAGGAGAGCUGAAACGUCAGAGAUCCGAAAGCGGUUACGUGAAGCUGGUUUCAGAUAUGCGUUUAUGUAUCCUGCUACUAUCAAGGGGAUUGAAUCUCCUACAGUGAAGGCGGUGUACCUUUACAAUACGAAUGAUUCAGAGACUUGUCUUAAUUCGAUUGAAGCUCAACGGACCACCAACGCAACUCUGUAAGUCAGAAAUUAUGACUAAGUAGUUCACUGGACUCUUUUGGGAAGGUCUUAUUAUACAGCAAUGGGUCUACUUUCAUUUUUCUUCUUCUUCUUCUUUAAUUUUUAAGAUAUUGUUAUUAUAAUUUUUAUUAUUAUUACUACUACUGUGUUAUCUUUCAUGGUUUAUAUUUAUAUUGAUAUAGAAGAAGUUUAAGAUAUGUUUUGGAGAUUUAAACUUUGUUGUGUUUGCUACGUGAGGAGCUUUGUUUCUGCUCUACUUUUCUUACAACAGCCAAUGUGGUGGUUAAACGUAUGUCUUUCUUAGCUUUUGGUCCACCUUUCUACUUAAUAGCUCAUUUAUUUUAUUUGUGUUGUGUUCUUCGGGACAGAUGUAAGAAGCUUUGUUUUAUUAUUAUUUCUCCUUUUUUUCUUUGUUUGUAAUAUGCACCUAUGUUUGGAUGUUAAUUAUGUAAGGUGUCCAUUUUUAAGGUACUUUGUAAAUGAUUUAAUGUUUUGUCUAUGAAUGAACUGCAGUAUCUCACAGAAGUGAGUAAACCUCUCACAUUUUUGUAAAUAUUUUAUUAUAUAUUUUGUGACAGCACUGAAGAAAUUACAUUUUGCUACAAUGCAAAGUAGUGAGUGUACAGCUUGUAUAACAGUGUAAAUUUGCUGUCCCCUCAAAACAACUCAACGCACAGCCAUUAAUGUCUAAACCGCUGGCCACAAAAGUGAGUACACCCCUAAGUGAAAAUGUCCAAAUUGGGUCAAUAUUUUAUGUGGCCACCAUUAUUUUCCAGCACUGCCUUAACCCUCAG
Long non-coding RNA from Cyprinus carpio carpio, 1102 nucleotides. The record is from Ensembl. NCBI's taxonomy places the organism in Eukaryota, Metazoa, Chordata, Actinopteri, Cypriniformes, Cyprinidae.